AUGUCCAACCGUCCACAUAAGCAUCACACCAAGUCACCAAUCAGCCUGUCACUACUAUUCCUCAGUCCUCACGCGAUACCGAGUCCCACCCAGAUCGGUUCCAUGGCAACCACAAAUCCCAGUCCAAGGUCCGUAAUAAUGCCCAAGUGGAGGCGCCAAGACAGUACAAUCGAAAACAACAGCAACGGAAUCCUUGACCCAAACUCCUUUGUAACGACUAUGGCUGCAAGGGGCAACGGAAUCUCAUUGGCCUCUCCCACAAGUUCCUGCACGGAGCAUGAGAAGACCUCCCUUCUCCAGUUCCUUGCUGGGCUGUCGAGUGACGGUGGCCUCGCUGCCUCAUGGCAGGAUGGCAUGGAUUGCUGCACGUGGAGAGGGAUCACCUGCAGGCAAGAUAGCAUGAUCACCAGUGUCAUGCUCGCUUCAGAAGGCCUAGAGGGGCACAUCUCGGAGUCCCUUGGAAACCUCACCGGGCUGCAGUACCUUAACCUCUCUCACAACUCGCUGUCUGGUGGUGGAAUUGGUGUCGUCCAGCAGCAUCACCGUCCUUGA
RNAcentral lists this ribosomal RNA (552 nucleotides) under Triticum aestivum (bread wheat). RNAcentral's name for it is "partial small subunit ribosomal RNA". The record is from RNAcentral. Lineage: Eukaryota; Viridiplantae; Streptophyta; Magnoliopsida; Poales; Poaceae.